UGGCAAUCCUAAAUGCCCUGUAGCCUCCUGCUUAUAAGUGUGGUACACGACACACCCAUAAACAAGACUCUACUAGACGCGGCCUGUAGACUCCCUAGAACAGAACUGCUCGGAUACCACUUUUGUCACGACCCAAACCGAUGGGUCGCGACGGGUACCCGGUACCUUACUCAACUGAGUACCAACGUAACAUAUAUUUCUUAUACAUCAUCAUAUACACAUGACAUACGGGCCUAAUAGCCCAACAUGAUCCUUUAUAAACUCAAAACAUAGGCCAACAAGGUUGUACAAUCUUUUAUGUACACGACAUAUAUCUACAAGCCUCUAAGAAUACAUAAAUGUCAUAAAGGUCGGGACAGAGUCCCGCCAUACAAACAAGACACGUCUAAAUCAUACUAACCAAACGAGCAACUCCGAAGCAACUGGAGCGCAUCAACAUCUUCCGCUGAGCUGAUAGCCUACUUGGAGGGCUCUCGACCUGUCUAUAAGGACCUGCGGGCAUGAAACGCAGCGUCCCCAGGCAAAAGGGAUGUCAGUACAAAUAAUGUGCCUAGUAUGUAAGGUACAUAAAUAAAUACAUAAGGUACAUGGAAGACAUAUAGAGUACAUGACUCAACCUGUAAGUCUGAAUAACUUUGUAAAUUAUAAAUUACUUUUAGCGUCAUGUGUAUGCGUAUGAAUGUCAAGUCAUGCAUAGGUACAUGAUUCAUAACAUCAUUAGCCUCUAAGGGCAUCCCAUGAUAUCAUAUCGGCCACUGUGGGCAAAAUCAUCAUCGUAUACUAGCCGAUCAGGUGUUGGUGCAUAUAUAACGCCAUAACCUUUCCCAUAUCCCAUAUACAUAUAUAUAUCCAUACAUAUAUACACGUAUAUAAUGCCAUUUGAAUCAUAUUUAAAUAUAUACGCGUAUAUAACAUCGUUUGAAUCAUAUUUCAGCCACUGUGGGUAACAUUACCAUCAUAUACCAGCUGAUCAGGUGGUGGUGAGUAUAUAACACCGUAACCUUUUCCAUAUCCCAUAUACAUAUAUAUACAUACAUAUAUAUACGUAUAUAACACCAUCUGGUCAUGGGUCAAUGCACAUGAAUGCAAUGCAUGAAACGUACGUUAAUAAAAUCUUUCGGAGCUUCAUAAGACCAUUUUGUGUUUGAGUAAUAUCAUAAAGUAAACUCUUUUCAACUUUCAUAUUUUUCGGAGACCCAUGAACAAAUGAUAAAAUAUUAUGACACACGGAAAUUCAUGAACAUAGAUAUUUCUAAUACUUCUAUGAAUAGAAUCAUUCAUGGAAUUUGCGCAUUUUCACAUUUUGUUCGUAUAGUAUGGAUCAUGCCAAAAGAAAGAAGGGAUAGCCUUAACAUACCUGAACCGAUUCUCUUUUGCGAAAACAUGUAACGACGGAUUGAAGUAGAGAAAAUUCUGUAUGAUAUUCUUGAGAAAGAUUGUACCAGACUUUCUUUGAAUUAGCAUUUCAAAGAAACUCAGGACUGGUAUAAUUGCAGAGAGUUUCACCUUUUGGUCAUUGAAAUGCUUCAGGGAAUAUUCACGUUUUUGAGCAUGGAAGUGCAUUUGAUAUUUGUUAAAAAUUUUGUAAUGCUAUAGAGAGCUUUCACAUUUUUGGGCAUUUGAAGUUCAUUUGAUAUUCCCCAACGUGUACCAUCACAUUUUUUUCACGGUUUGUGCGUAUAACGUUCCAUACAGAUGCAGAUUAAACAUUUUCCUUGAGAGGAAACUACAUCCAUUUUGAUAAAAGGAAAAAGGAAAAAUUUUAAACAUGUAGAAGAGAUCACUAAACUAAAAACACAAC
Molecule: long non-coding RNA, 1801 nt
Filed under: Nicotiana tabacum (common tobacco)
Lineage: Eukaryota; Viridiplantae; Streptophyta; Magnoliopsida; Solanales; Solanaceae
Description: long non-coding RNA (NTAB_LNC017149)
Source: RNAcentral